UACGGAAGGGGCAAGCGUUGUUCGGAAUCAUUGGGCGUAAAGGGCGCGUAGGUGGUUCUGUAUGUCUACCGUGAAAGCGUACGGCUCAACCCGUAUUUUGUCGGUGGAAACUGCAGGACUUGAGGCUGGGAGGGGCUGGUGGAAUUCCCUGUGUAGCGGUGAAAUGGCGUAGAGAUGGGGGAGAACACUCGUGGCGAAGGCGGCCAGCUAGACCAGUUCUGACACUGAGGCGCGACAGCGUGGGGAGCAAACAGG
This 255-nucleotide ribosomal RNA is filed under the name uncultured bacterium. RNAcentral's name for it is "partial 16S ribosomal RNA". It matches the Rfam family "Bacterial small subunit ribosomal RNA", at positions 524 to 776 of the family's 1533-position model. The record is from RNAcentral.